RNAcentral lists this ribosomal RNA (483 nucleotides) under uncultured organism. RNAcentral describes it as "SSU rRNA". It matches the Rfam family "Bacterial small subunit ribosomal RNA", at positions 15 to 509 of the family's 1533-position model. The record is from RNAcentral.
GAUCCUGGCUCAGGAUGAACGCUGGCGGCGUGCUUAACACAUUCAAGUCGAACGGGAAAUCGGGAGCUUGCUCCUGAUGGAUAGUGGCGGACGGGUGAGUAACGCGUGAGCAACCUGCCUCGAUGUGGGGAAUAACACAGGGAAACUUGUGCUAAUACCGCAUAAUGCAUAUGUGUCACAUGGCACUGUAUGCCAAAGCUACGGUGCAUUGAGAUGGGCUCGCGUUGGAUUAGAUAGUUGGUGGGGUAACGGCCUACCAAGUCAACGAUCCAUAGCCGGACUGAGAGGUUGAACGGCCACAUUGGAACUGAGAUACGGUCCAGACUCCUACGGGAGGCAGCAGUGAGGAAUAUUGGGCAAUGGGCAUAAGCCUGACCCAGCGACGCCGCGUGAGGGAAGAAGGUCUUCGGAUUGUAAACCUUAGUUAUCAGGGAAGAAGAAAGUGACGGUACCUGAAGAGAAAGCCACGGCUAACUACGUGCC